GCCGACGUAGCUCAGGGGUAGAGCAGGGGUUUUGUAAACCUCUGGUCGGGGGUUCAAAUCCCUCCGUCGGCUCCA
RNAcentral lists this transfer RNA (75 nucleotides) under Candidatus Omnitrophus magneticus. RNAcentral's name for it is "tRNA-Thr". It matches the Rfam family "tRNA". From Rfam's summary of the family: Transfer RNA (tRNA) molecules are approximately 80 nucleotides in length. Lineage: Bacteria; Pseudomonadati; Candidatus Omnitrophota. The record is from RNAcentral.